UACGAAGGGGGCUAGCGUUGCUCGGAAUCACUGGGCGUAAAGCGCACGUAGGCGGAUUCCUAAGUCAGGGGUGAAAUCCUGGAGCUCAACUCCAGAACUGCCUUUGAUACUGGGAAUCUUCGAGUCCGGGAGAGGUGAGUGGAACUGCGAGUGUAGAGGUGAAAUUCGUAGAUAUUCGCAAGAACACCAGUGGCGAAGGCGGCUCACUGGCCCGGUACUGACGCUGAGGUGCGAAAGCGUGGGGAGCAAACAGG
This 254-nucleotide ribosomal RNA is filed under the name uncultured bacterium. RNAcentral describes it as "partial 16S ribosomal RNA". It matches the Rfam family "Bacterial small subunit ribosomal RNA", at positions 524 to 776 of the family's 1533-position model. The record is from RNAcentral.